GUUGUUGGGUAGGGGAGCGUUCUGUAAGCCUGUGAAGGUGGCCUGUGAGGGUUGCUGGAGGUAUCAGAAGUGCGAAUGCUGACAUAAGUAACGAUAAAGCGGGUGAAAAGCCCGCUCGCCGGAAGACCAAGGGUUCCUGUCCAACGUUAAUCGGGGCAGGGUGAGUCGACCCCUAAGGCGAGGCCGAAAGGCGUAGUCGAUGGGAAACGGGUUAAUAUUCCCGUACUUGGUGUUACUGCGAAGGGGGGACGGAGAAGGCUAUGUUGGCCGGGCGACGGUUGUCCCGGUUUAAGCGUGUAGGUGUGUGUUCCAGGUAAAUCCGGUUCACUUUAACACUGAGGCGUGAUGACGAGGCACUACGGUGCUGAAGCAACAAAUGCCCUGCUUCCAGGAAAAGCCUCUAAGCAUCAGGUAACAUCAAAUCGUACCCCAAACCGACACAGGUGGUCAGGUAGAGAAUACCAAGGCGCUUGAGAGAACUCGGGUGAAGGAACUAGGCAAAAUGGUGCCGUAACUUCGGGAGAAGGCACGCUGACAUGUAGGUGAAGUGAUUUACUCACGGAGCUGAAGUCAGUCGAAGAUACCAGCUGGCUGCAACUGUUUAUUAAAAACACAGCACUGUGCAAACACGAAAGUGGACGUAUACGGUGUGACGCCUGCCCGGUGCCGGAAGGUUAAUUGAUGGGGUCAGCGCAAGCGAAGCUCCUGAUCGAAGCCCCGGUAAACGGCGGCCGUAACUAUAACGGUCCUAAGGUAGCGAAAUUCCUUGUCGGGUAAGUUCCGACCUGCACGAAUGGCGUAAUGAUGGCCAGGCUGUCUCCACCCGAGACUCAGUGAAAUUGAACUCGCUGUGAAGAUGCAGUGUACCCGCGGCAAGACGGAAAGACCCCGUGAACCUUUACUAUAGCUUGACACUGAACAUUGAGCCUUGAUGUGUAGGAUAGGUGGGAGGCUUUGAAGUGUGGACGCCAGUCUGCAUGGAGCCGACCUUGAAAUACCACCCUUUAAUGUUUGAUGUUCUAACGUGGACCCGUAAUCCGGGUUGCGGACAGUGUCUGGUGGGUAGUUUGACUGGGGCGGUCUCCUCCUAAAGAGUAACGGAGGAGCACGAAGGUUGGCUAAUCCUGGUCGGACAUCAGGAGGUUAGUGCAAUGGCAUAAGCCAGCUUGACUGCGAGCGUGACGGCGCGAGCAGGUGCGAAAGCAGGUCAUAGUGAUCCGGUGGUUCUGAAUGGAAGGGCCAUCGCUCAACGGAUAAAAGGUACUCCGGGGAUAACAGGCUGAUACCGCCCAAGAGUUCAUAUCGACGGCGGUGUUUGGCACCUCGAUGUCGGCUCAUCACAUCCUGGGGCUGAAGUAGGUCCCAAGGGUAUGGCUGUUCGCCAUUUAAAGUGGUACGCGAGCUGGGUUUAGAACGUCGUGAGACAGUUCGGUCCCUAUCUGCCGUGGGCGCUGGAGAACUGAGGGGGGCUGCUCCUAGUACGAGAGGACCGGAGUGGACGCAUCACUGGUGUUCGGGUUGUCAUGCCAAUGGCACUGCCCGGUAGCUAAAUGCGGAAGAGAUAAGUGCUGAAAGCAUCUAAGCACGAAACUUGCCCCGAGAUGAGUUCUCCCUGAGACUUUAGGUCUCCUGAAGGAACGUUGAAGACGACGACGUUGAUAGGCCGGGUGUGUAAGCGCAGCGAUGCGUUGAGCUAACCGGUACUAAUGAACCGUGAGGCUUAACCUUAC
RNAcentral lists this ribosomal RNA (1730 nucleotides) under Salmonella enterica subsp. enterica serovar Oranienburg str. 701. RNAcentral describes it as "bacterial LSU rRNA". It matches the Rfam family "Bacterial large subunit ribosomal RNA", at positions 1220 to 2925 of the family's 2925-position model. The record is from RNAcentral. Lineage: Bacteria; Pseudomonadati; Pseudomonadota; Gammaproteobacteria; Enterobacterales; Enterobacteriaceae.